AAUGCAGUCGACGCGUCUCCGUUGAUGAUUUUAGGUGCUUGCACCUGAAAGAUUUAACAUUGAGACGAGUGGCGAACUGGUGAGUAACACGUGGGUAACCUGCCCUUGAAGUAGGGGAUAACACUUGGAAACAGGUGCUAAUACCGUAUAACAACCAAAACCACCUGGUUUUGGUUUAAAAGACGGCUUCGGCUGUCACUUUAGGAUGGACCCGCGGCGUAUUAGCUUGUUGGUAAGGUAACGGCCUACCAAGGCGAUGAUACGUAGCCGACCUGAGAGGGUAAUCGGCCACAUUGGGACUGAGACACGGCCCAAACUCCUACGGGAGGCAGCAGUAGGGAAUCUUCCACAAUGGACGAAAGUCUGAUGGAGCAACGCCGCGUGAGUGAUGAAGGGUUUCGGCUCGUAAAACUCUGUUGUUGGAGAAGAACAGGUGUCAGAGUAACUGUUGACAUCUUGACGGUAUCCAACCAGAAAGCCACGGCUAACUACGUGCCAGCAGCCGCGGUAAUACGUAGGUGGCAAGCGUUGUCCGGAUUUAUUGGGCGUAAAGCGAGCGCAGGCGGUUUUUUAGGUCUGAUGUGAAAGCCUUCGGCUUAACCGGAGAAGUGCAUCGGAAACCGGGAGACUUGAGUGCAGAAGAGGACAGUGGAACUCCAUGUGUAGCGGUGAAAUGCGUAGAUAUAUGGAAGAACACCAGUGGCGAAAGCGGCUGUCUGGUCUGUAACUGACGCUGAGGCUCGAAAGCAUGGGUAGCGAACAGGAUUAGAUACCCUGGU
This 779-nucleotide ribosomal RNA is filed under the name Lentilactobacillus buchneri. Its description in RNAcentral is "bacterial SSU rRNA". It matches the Rfam family "Bacterial small subunit ribosomal RNA", at positions 54 to 791 of the family's 1533-position model. Lineage: Bacteria; Bacillati; Bacillota; Bacilli; Lactobacillales; Lactobacillaceae. The record is from RNAcentral.